This 1604-nucleotide long non-coding RNA is filed under the name Brassica rapa (field mustard). RNAcentral's name for it is "long non-coding RNA (BRAP_LNC001908)". The record is from RNAcentral. Lineage: Eukaryota; Viridiplantae; Streptophyta; Magnoliopsida; Brassicales; Brassicaceae.
GGAAACUAAAAAUGAUAAAAUACAACAUUUGUUAAGCCGAACAUGCAUACCUUGUUCCAUAGAAACAGUUCCAUCUCAUGUGUGAACUGUUUUAGAGGACCUUUCUUCAGUUUAACAUACCAAAACAGAGUUAAUCACUAAUGAAGAUAAACUGUCUGAAAAACAUAGCUGGAUAGUUUAAACGAAAAAACCACAUUUAUGCGUAAGCAUUAUUAUAAAAGCAACUAAUGCGGCCAGAUACUGCAAACUUUGAACCAAGGUGGCGCUUGGCUACUUGGUAGAUGCUGAGGCCCGAGGUUUUUUAUUGAUGACACCACCCGAAGUUGUUUCUGAAGCUGGUUAUUUCUUCUUUUCACUAUCACCAACGAUCACCUUUGCUGGGAGAGAGCUGAUACCAGCCACGUCAUCUUUGGACCAUCAUUGCCACCCUCCUAAAACCAAGCGACAUGUAAGCUUUUGAAAAUAUCUAAAGGACAUAAUGAAACGUAGUUAUAAACUUUCAUCAGCAACAAAAUCAGGUAGUGGCGCACAUAAAUGAAGUGAUACCUCUUAUAAGCUUGAGAUUAAUGCCUGUUUUGUAGCCGUGAAGUUGUUUGUGAAACGAUACAGCCUGAUAGUCGAACACACUCACAGACAGAGACACCACCGUCGAGUCCAAAGAAGGAGCAAAUGGUUAAAGUGUUUACUCAAAAAGGCUGUUGCAUCAAUUAUCAAAGCUAUGAGGAAAUCUAGGAUAAAGAAACACAGACCUAGCGAGUGUGAUGGUUGCCAUGACACGGUUUUUGUCUCCUCGAGGGUCACUUACAAUACUCUUUAUAGCAGUAAGCUCAUCAAUGAUGUCUGGGAUAAGAUGAACAUCUUUAUAAAAAAACAUCCAAUAAGAGGAUUACCUGGAAGAUGGUGUUGGUGAUUGCGGAACCUGAAUCGUUCAUCAUAAAAGGUGAUCAUUUAUCUACAGAUUAUACUGAUAUUCAGCUCCAUACAUGACAAUCAAUCUUUUAUCUACUGGAUCUCACAAUUAUAUAGAGUUAAAGGUGAUAAUUUCAGGACAAACCUUAUCAUCAAGAAGGAGAUGUCCAUUCCAUCAGCUCUCCCCCCGUUCGGGUUUCCCAGAAUCGCAUAAGACGGAGUGCGCGACGACGGUAUCAGAACAACGGCCGGUGGUAGCAUCAGGAAAAAAAGUUUCGUAAGCCACCAUCAUGCAGGCUGCGUCGUAAGAAAUAGAUGAUUUUGUUUAAGCAGCGUGAUUUUGAAUUUUUGAUAUCUCAAACGACUUUUAUAGAUUUCUUUUUUGGGUUUUCAUUUGGACUUUUGAGAAGGAGGCAAUUGAAUCGAAUAAAUCGGAGUGCGAGUGACUGAAAGACCGAUUUAAUGGUGAGAAGUGAAGACAAACUCUCAUCUAUGGAAAGCGUUACCGAUAUGGAACUCAAGCGCCUGAGGAUCUGAGAGAUCGUGAACAGUUUACAGAAACGCAGGAGGAGAGUUGACGAUAUAAGCCCAUCAGAUCUCUAAAUAAAUGAAGUGUUGCGUUUUGUUAAAGAAAGACAUGUGUCAACAGCAUAGAAGUCGACUUUGUGACCUGGAUCUGAUGUGGCAUCACCAGG